CGCUAAAAGUCGUGAUCUUUAGCGGCGUUUGUGAUAAAAGCGCCGCUAAAGGCCAUGAUCUUUAGCGG
RNAcentral lists this microRNA precursor (68 nucleotides) under Gossypium raimondii (Peruvian cotton). Its description in RNAcentral is "miR7492k stem-loop (gra-MIR7492k)". The record is from miRBase by way of RNAcentral. Lineage: Eukaryota; Viridiplantae; Streptophyta; Magnoliopsida; Malvales; Malvaceae.